GCAUUAAUGGGGUAGUGGUAACCUGGGUCGUUGCCAUCUGAGCAUAGCUCGACCCGCCGGGGGUUCGAUUCCCCCUUAAUGCA
Non-coding RNA from Tricholoma furcatifolium, 83 nucleotides. NCBI's taxonomy places the organism in Eukaryota, Fungi, Basidiomycota, Agaricomycetes, Agaricales, Tricholomataceae. The record is from the annotation of a GenBank genome assembly.